RNAcentral lists this long non-coding RNA (768 nucleotides) under Ananas comosus (pineapple). RNAcentral's name for it is "long non-coding RNA (ACOM_LNC025989)". Lineage: Eukaryota; Viridiplantae; Streptophyta; Magnoliopsida; Poales; Bromeliaceae. The record is from RNAcentral.
GCCCGCUUGGACCUAGUGGGGAGAUCGGCGGAGUCGGCGGCCGAACCCACUGGGAACUAAGGAAGUUAGUUCUCACCCCCCAUUUUACUACAGGUUCCAGUUCGGGUGCUCCCGGGGAGCGUGAGGAUCGCGGUAAGGGCCCGGCGUCUUAGUCGCAUUAGCUACCUCCCUUUUGUAUUAGCCGUCACCCUUUUGUACUUGAGAGUAGAUGAUGUAUAGGGUGAGGCGGAGUGAUUGUAUUCCUAUUUUGGAAGAAUGUAAAGAUGUAAUUGAAUGUAUUAAGUCAAAUGAAUGUAAUAGAUAGCCUCUUCUCUCGUUAUGUACUUGUAUAUGUUUCUAUACUUGUAUCUUGCUCUUGGUUGUUGCACUAGUGGUGCUUCUUGAUCGUGUAUUUAUGAAUUGAAUUCCUGGGUAAAUUCUUAUACAUGAUCUGUUGGUUAGCCUUGGACGGACAGGGGAGGUCCUGUCCGUUCGGCGUCUGUUCGACGCGCCCGGGGCCGGACCAAAUUGGUAGCGGUCUCGGGGCGUGACAGAUAAAGUGGUAUCAGAGCACCAGAGCAAGUAAAGAGAGAGUCUAGGAUGACCUAGGAGACCCUAGGUUGGCAAACCCUAAGGUUGUAGGGACGUGAGUGAACGUGAACCCGUGGCGGUGGCGGAAGUUGAUCGAUUGGGUCGAAGUUGAUGUCAUGUCUCUAGCCGUGAAUAGAGACGGAUCCAAGUGAUACUAGUUUCUUGGCUCGUAGUGGUUGUGUCGGCGGCCGACGACAC